GUUACACGCACGCGUGUGUCGUUCUAGGUGACAGAGGCAGCGGCUACCGCAGGAGACGGGGGAUCUCUGAGGGGAGCCCGUCCCGCCAGAAGGGAGAGUAAUGGCAUCCCUCCCGGCCGCGGAAGGAGGACAUGUGUGAAGAAGGAAUCCACAGCACAAAGAGCAUAACAGAUCUGUAGCAUCCUAGUAAUGCAGAAAGAAUAGUUACAUGCCAAGGACCAAAUAUGUGUGCCUUAAAGUUCCCCAGCGUUCUGUAUACUCUUUAUUUGCAUUUGAGAUUACUUGACCACUGUGGAAUGCAUCCUUGGGCUUUCUGAAAUCCAUGAAAUGACACAGGGUGAUGAGAAGUUAUCCUGAGAGAAGGGGGUGAUAUUGCAAAACCUGUCUGGAAGAUAGCGGCAAUACUGCUGGUUCCUGGCUUGGGUUGUGUAUGCUACACGAAUACAAAUGGCAUUUACGCUUGAUUAAAGGUAAUGUAAUCAAA
Falco peregrinus (peregrine falcon) is the source of this 484-nucleotide long non-coding RNA. RefSeq lists it as uncharacterized. The record is from RefSeq and is a predicted model, not a curated record. The transcript has 3 exons. Lineage: Eukaryota; Metazoa; Chordata; Aves; Falconiformes; Falconidae.